UGUAUAGCAAUAGCUACUUGCAUCAUUGUAAAUAUGAUGCAAGAUCGACUAUGNCGAAUAAAAUUCUAGGUAGAAUUAUGAUAAUGACAUUGUCUGCCUAUGUGUCUUGACCAAAUUACGUGCCAGCAGUCGCGGUAAUACGUAGAAGACUAGUGUUAUUCAUGUUUAAUCGGUUUAAAGGGUACCUAGACGGUAAAUCAAGCCUAAAAGGAAAUAAAUGAAGGGACUAAUUUACUAGAGUUACUUAUGAGGGGGUAUUAAAGUACUGCUGGUGUNGAGAUGAAAUUCUGUCAUACCUCUUUUCAAUAGAAAAAUAAUGGCACAGGUAUAGGCGAAAGCAUCCCCUUAUGUGAUAACUGACGUUGAGGGACGAAGGCUUUGUGUAGCGAACAGGAUUAGAUACCCCAGUAGUCAAAGCAGAAAAUGAUGAAUGUCAUAGAUUAGAUAUAUAAGUUUAUUCUAUAAAUGAAAGUGUAAGCAUUCCACCUCAAGAGUAAUUUGGCAACAUUGGAACUGAAAUCAUUAGACCGUUUCUGAAACCAGUAGUGAAGUAUGUUGUUUAAUUUGAUGAUCCGCAAAAAACCUUACCACAAUUUGAAUAUUUAUAUCUUUUAUUGUUUUUCUUUUUAACUUUUUCUAAUUUUCUACUUAAAAGAAAAAAAUAACAAGAAAAAAGAGACAAUAAGAUAUAUUUACAAGCGUUGCACGGCUGUNNNNNGUUAAUGUCGCGAGACUAUGGUUAGUUCCAUUAAAUUAANNNNNNCCCUUACUUUAUUUUUAUAUAGAGUAGUUCCCCGCUAUAUUGGAUAUGAUAACAGG
Molecule: ribosomal RNA, 819 nt
Filed under: Vulpicida juniperinus
Lineage: Eukaryota; Fungi; Ascomycota; Lecanoromycetes; Lecanorales; Parmeliaceae
Description: SSU rRNA
Rfam family: Bacterial small subunit ribosomal RNA
Source: RNAcentral